UGGGGAAUAUUGCACAAUGGGCGAAAGCCUGAUGCAGCAACGCCGCGUGCGCGAUGAAGGCCUUCGGGUCGUAAAGCGCUUUUCGGGGAGAUGAGGAAGGACGGUAUCCCCGGAAUAAGGCUCGGCUAACUACGUGCCAGCAGCCGCGGUAAAACGUAGGAGCCUAGCGUUAUCCGAAUUUACUGGGCGUAAAGCGCGUGCAGGCGGUUCGGUAAGUUGGGUGUGAAAUCUCCUGGCUCAACUAGGAGAGGUCGCUCAAUACUGUCGAGCUAGAGGAUGGUAGAGGGAGGUGGAAUUCCCGGUGUAGUGGUGAAAUGCGUAGAUAUCGGGAGGAAUACCAGUGGCGAAGGCGGCCUCCUGGGCCAUACCUGACGCUCAGACGCGAAAGCUAGGGGAGCAAACGGGAUUAGAAACCCCGGUAGUCCUAGCAGUAAACGAUGUGGACUUGGCGUUGGUGGGGUAAAAUCCAUCAGUGCCGGAGCUAACGCGGUAAGUCCACCGCCUGGGGACUACGGCCGCAAGGUUA
This 526-nucleotide ribosomal RNA is filed under the name uncultured bacterium. RNAcentral's name for it is "bacterial SSU rRNA". It matches the Rfam family "Bacterial small subunit ribosomal RNA", at positions 355 to 896 of the family's 1533-position model. The record is from RNAcentral.